RNAcentral lists this unclassified non-coding RNA (280 nucleotides) under Hevea brasiliensis (rubber tree). Lineage: Eukaryota; Viridiplantae; Streptophyta; Magnoliopsida; Malpighiales; Euphorbiaceae. The record is from RNAcentral.
UGGGAAUUAGGAGAAGACCAACCGCGAUUUGAUUUGUGUCACGCCAACCGAAAACAGCUAUUUGUGUCUGACCUUCCAUAGCCACAGGAAAGAUUGAGAAAUGGUUUGAUCAAGUGCAUGGUGAAUGAGAUCAGUAGGUCAGGAUUCCUACGCAUAUGGAGUCAAGGAGAGGUAAGGCAAACAAAUGUUUGGCAGUUGGGUGGUGAAACGACUACGCAUGACCAAUUGAGUACCUGCACGACCCUGAUAUUGAUCAGGAUAAGGUUUACAACACCCAGAG